GCUGGCAUGGCUUAGUAGUUGAGCAUCAACCUAUGAAUCAGGAGGUCAGGGUUCAAUUCCCUGUCAGAGCA
This 71-nucleotide transfer RNA is filed under the name Myotis brandtii (Brandt's bat). It matches the Rfam family "tRNA". Rfam says of the family: Transfer RNA (tRNA) molecules are approximately 80 nucleotides in length. Lineage: Eukaryota; Metazoa; Chordata; Mammalia; Chiroptera; Vespertilionidae. The record is from Rfam by way of RNAcentral.